Molecule: long non-coding RNA, 1188 nt
Filed under: Rattus norvegicus (Norway rat)
Lineage: Eukaryota; Metazoa; Chordata; Mammalia; Rodentia; Muridae
Description: long non-coding RNA NONRATT020180
Source: RNAcentral
AAAACAUGACUUGAGGCAAGUCUAUCACAUAAGGCAAGUUGUUAAUGAGUAGUUGCAGAAAUGAACAAGAGUAUGGUGAUGUAUGCCCGUACAGCUAAAGCCCAAUACUUGAGAGGCUCAGGCAGGAGAAGGAUCAAGGGCAACACAGUGAGACUCUGCCUCUAAACAAAUGCACUGAAACACCACAUUAUAGAAGCAAAACAGGAGACUGGAAUUUGGGGAAUGUUGAUUUUUCAACCAUAGCACCUAUUAGACAAUCAGAGAUCCUGCCUACGAGGACGCCUCACAGGACUCAAGGAUCUAUACAAGCUUCCGAAGCCUUUCCCCACCACCCUACUAUACAUCUCUGCUCCAUUCCCUCUCCUGUGUGCUAAAAGAUGCUAUUCGUGUCCUUGUGAUGCUGAAUGACUGUGUACACAUGCAGGAUGUGUGUCUACAAUGUCAAAGUUAGUUAAAAACAAUAAUGAAGUAAACACAUUCCCUCAAACCAAAAAAACAAAAACAAAAACAAAAAAAACCAAAUAGUACCUUAUAAAUGACUAUAGAAUAAACAAAAUUUUAAAACCCACGAAAACUUAGUUGCAGGCAAGGCAAAUCAACAAACAUCCAGAUGUACUAGGAAUGUACCAAGUAGUUAUGCCCUUCAGAAUAUAAGAUAAAGCAAAGAUAUUUUUAAAUGUCGAGUUUUCCUUGUUCAUGGGGACCCAUUUUUAAUUUGUAUCUACAAGAUUAGAUGUACAAAGCAGCUCUCUUCCAAAGCUAGAACCGGCAUAGGUGUCCAUUAGCAAGUAGUAGCUAUAGAAUACUGCUCCAUUCAUGAGGAAAAUCUACUCCUAAUUAAAAUAGGGAGUAUGUGUCUCUCACAAACACCCUUGGGGGUAAAAGAAAACUUUGCACGAAAUAUGACACGCUGCGUGAUGUGAUUGUGUGGGGCUCUGAAACACACAAAAGUAACCUGUGCUUUAAAGGAGCAUUAUAGUCAUUGUCUUUGGGAGACAGAAGCCUGAUUCCAUGCAAAAGGGCUAGAGGUCACUUUCCGAGUCACUACUGAGUGUGCUAGAUGGUCACUGAGGUACACAGCUUCUCCAGAAUUCAGGCAAACGUAUGCUCACACCACAUGUACUUUGCCUUAUGUAGUGGUUCUCAACCUGUGGGUCAUGAAUCAUGUUAUGAUUCAAAAUAAUAGAG